Molecule: long non-coding RNA, 384 nt
Filed under: Vulpes vulpes (red fox)
Lineage: Eukaryota; Metazoa; Chordata; Mammalia; Carnivora; Canidae
Description: lncRNA (ENSVVUG00000000190.1)
Source: RNAcentral
GUCAAGAUCAGCAGAACCAGCAAUCCAACCCAUAGCUCAGUGCAGACUUAUUAGUCAAGACCAAAAGGACUGCAAAACCUAUCCGUAACUUUACCUCUGUCUCACCAUAUGAACAUCCUGGGCUGAUUUGCUGGAAGGAUGUGACAAAUACAUAAAGAGCUAGACCCGCCAAUUCCUGGCAGCGACCGAACACUUGAUCAGCCAAUAUUAGAAGAAUGACCCUCCCCAACACAGCUAAUGAAGCAAUGGAAGCAAGAAAGGAAUUGACUGGCAAGUGGCAGUGGCACAUCAAGAACCCUAGGAUAGGCCUAGGUACCUUUCUACUCUGCAUUGAGAGUCAUUUUCUACUACAAAAUUCUUUACUUUCUCAGGUGUACCUUCAAG